AACUCUAAAACAUGGAAUCAUUUUGAAUGUAGAGACAGAAGUGGUAUAUAAAAAGAAAAUGCCUUAAUUUUAAGUCUGCCAGUAGGUGCUUGAGGUGCGAGGUCUUAAGUGAAAUUCACUUUGACACGAAAGAAAACCAGCAAGAGACUAAACAUUUUGCCAAGUCCACAUAUCAAAUACUAUAUUUUAAUUAGAUAAUACAGUAAUAAUCCAACAGAUUUACCAUAAUGCUUUGAACCUUUAAAAGGUCAAACACAAAGAUGUAAAGGAGAACUACUGAAGAUGGCUUUCAUAAACUUCGUGCAGGUUGAUUUAAAACCAAAAUCAAAGGAAGAAACACUUCGACUCCACGCAAAACUCAACCACACUCCAUAAUUUAAAACCAAAAUCAAAGGAAGAAACUAAAUAUUUUUUUUCGGUGAAUUUUUCUGAUUUUUUUCGAAAUAAACGAAGUCUCGAACAAAAAUGAAACUCAAACUAUUUUUUGUAUUUUUGCUUUUCUGGAAUGCCAAUCGAACAUGAAAAGAAAAAUCGGAAAAAAGCAGAAAACCAAUAACCCUCGAAUCAAACCCGAAUUUUUCUCCUCAAACUUUUCUCUCUAACUUUUUUCCAGAAUCCCCCCUCCAUCUGUCUAGACCCAAAUAUAUAGCCCUCUCUCAAAGCUUCUUUUCCCCCCAUCUGCAAGAAGUCGCCAAAAACCCUUCAAAAAUCUGAAAAAUCCCCUAAAUUCCGAAAAUCUCCUUCUUUUUGGUAAAAAUCUGGGCAAGUGGAGGGGUAUGAUUAAUUCUCAUUAAUCAUAUCCUAUCCUUCGUCCAUCGUCUACCGUUGAAAGAGAAUCACGUGUGAUAAAGCAAAAAAAAUGCGGAUUCGAACCAAAAUCAGUUAUAUGUCAGGCCACGUGGAAGAAAUAGAGAAAGAAGAGCGGGACCAUGAGUGAACUCGCCGGAAAACCGGCGAGUUGGAGGCGGGUGGAGGCGGGUGGAGACGGGAAUGGGUGUUGAGGGUGUGGGCGGCUAGUCUUUAGGUUUAGGGUUUGGGGAAGACUAAGGUUUUAUAUGGGUGUGAGGAUUAAUAUGGGUCAUUGGAUUAAGGGGGAUGAAUGGCCGAAAUCAAAAUCUAAAAUGGGGCAGGUCAGAGGGUUAUUUGGGGUUGGGCUGCCCGAUUUUGGGCCUUUCCAUGGCCAAAAUUGGGCUAGAAUUUUUGGAUUUUAAUUCUUUUGAUUCAAUAAGAC
This 1231-nucleotide long non-coding RNA is filed under the name Nicotiana benthamiana. RNAcentral's name for it is "long non-coding RNA (NBEN_LNC031071)". The record is from RNAcentral. Lineage: Eukaryota; Viridiplantae; Streptophyta; Magnoliopsida; Solanales; Solanaceae.